RNAcentral lists this ribosomal RNA (484 nucleotides) under uncultured bacterium. RNAcentral describes it as "partial 16S ribosomal RNA". It matches the Rfam family "Bacterial small subunit ribosomal RNA", at positions 30 to 507 of the family's 1533-position model. The record is from RNAcentral.
AUUGAACGCUGGCGGCAUGCUUUACACAUGCAAGUCGAACGGCAGCACGGGCUUCGGCCUGGUGGCGAGUGGCGAACGGGUGAGUAAUAUAUCGGAACGUACCCAGCAGUGGGGGAUAACGUAGCGAAAGUUACGCUAAUACCGCAUACGAUCUAUGGAUGAAAGCAGGGGACCGCAAGGCCUUGUGCUCCUGGAGCGGCCGAUAUCUGAUUAGCUAGUUGGUGAGGUAAAGGCUCACCAAGGCGACGAUCAGUAGCUGGUCUGUGAGGACGACCAGCCACACUGGAACUGAGACACGGUCCAGACUCCUACGGGAGGCAGCAGUGGGGAAUUUUGGACAAUGGGCGCAAGCCUGAUCCAGCGAUGCCGCGUGAGUGAAGAAGGCCUUCGGGUUGUAAAGCUCUUUUGUCAGGGAAGAAACGGUAGAGGCUAAUAUCCUGUGCUAAUGACGGUACCUGAAGAAUAAGCACCGGCUAACUACGUG